UUUCCUUAUCAAUUGAUUCGAUUUUGAUUCGUUCGAUUCUUUUUAUGAACAAAAAUUUGAUUUCAGAUCUGGAUUUUAUAGGAGGUUAGAUGUAACUAAGUACGGAGGUUGGGUGCUCCACUCUGUCUACCUUCAGAAGGCAACUUUAUUUAUUUCCCACAUAUAUGGGUUCAAUUUCGGAUUUUGAUUUGGCUUUGAAUAGAUUCUAAACCCAUGAGCUCCUAUGGCUUUCUGACUCUCAAGUAUUCUCAUGGCUUUGUUUUCAGGCUUCCAAUGAGAAGAAUAUGCUUGGAGGAUCUUUAUAAAUAACAAAGCAGCUGAAGAUAAGGCAGAGGAUAAAUAAACAUGAUUUUUGCAUAUGAAAACUCUAGCUGGAGAACAAGAGGAUGAUGGAUAGCUCUCCUAAAGAAAUAGAGGACAAGCCUUCUAAGGGCAAGAGAAUAAAAGGCUUUGAGGUUAAGAAAAGUGCUGAGCAAGGGCAGAUGAGAGGAGUUUUCAGGUUUGUGACCGUUGUUCAAGUUGAAAGGACAAGUCUCCUAACAUGAGUUGUGAUACAUGGGACCGAUACAUGUUUUCUACAACUGUAUUUACUUGAUUGAGAUGGCAAGGCAAGCUGGGUCAACUGAGACUGCAAGUUGUCUCAAUUUCUUCAAACUCUCAAGCGAGUAAUUGGUGUUUGAGUCUGAAAUUGGGUGAUAUAAGAAGAUUAUAAGCCAAAGAGCGUACCAUUUCUGCCAUGGAUAUGAACCCCAAUUGACGUCAAUGCCUUGGAAAAAAACCCCUCUCUAUUCUGCCUUGACUUGACCCCAGAUCUGUUUCUUUCAAGACAUGAUUCCCCAGUCUAACAACACAGCCAAAGUUAAAGCAAUAACACUAAGGAUGAAGGCACUGCAAAUGAAAAUAGGCGAAAAAACAGUGUCGAAACCAGCUGUUGAAGAGACUAAUGCACCACAUAAAUCCGCCUUCACCAAACAUGAUCAAUAAUAUGAGAUAUCAAUGUUUUUUGGGUUCCAUUUGUUGAUCAUGCCAACUACUAUAGGUUAUUGAACUGAUGUUUACUAAGUUUAGCUCCAUUAUGGAUGUAUGUAUAGCUGCAGUAACAGAUUAAUCAAAUAUUGUUUUUAUGAAUGGAUUCCAUAUUUGAUGAAUGCAUUGGGUAGUUUCCAGAUUUA
Rosa chinensis is the source of this 1172-nucleotide long non-coding RNA. RefSeq lists it as uncharacterized. The record is from RefSeq and is a predicted model, not a curated record. The transcript is spliced from 9 exons. NCBI's taxonomy places the organism in Eukaryota, Viridiplantae, Streptophyta, Magnoliopsida, Rosales, Rosaceae.